AUUUUUGAUGGAAAUAGAUUGUACAAAGAACAAUUAACAUUUAAGCAUGUCUUCAGAUAGCAAGAAACUGAAAAAGCAGGGCUGGCAUAUCUACUGAAUGGUGGCAUCAACAAAUCUGGAAUAUAGCCUUAUCGGGAAAACUAAUCAAAUAUGGGCAACAAAAACUCAAACAGAGCCAAGCACCUUUUUUGCAACAUUGUAGGAUUUUAUUUGACUUUAUAAAUAAACAAAAGUGAUGGUUAGAUUCAUUCCCCAUCCAUACAUGGAAAUCUCUGGAGGAAUACUUUAGGAUAAUUCUUGUUUUAUUUUGCUUUGAACUUAUGUUCUCCAACACAGCAGUGUAACAAUGUGCUUCUACAUUUACUGUGUCUGUUAUAGAAAUAGAGAGAGAGGGGUUUUUUUAACAAACAAACAAACAAACAAAAAACUGUUGGAUCUACCCCUCACCCAUCAUUUCCAGUUUUCUAGUUAGUUUUAGUGAAGCAAAACACUUAUAUAAACUGCAUUCUAAUAUUAUUUACCCACAUAAUGGUAUAAAAAUGAAUAAUUAACAAGAGGAGAAGCCGUCUCUGCUGGGGCACUUGCUAUGGCUAUAUGAGGUCCCAGCUGUGAGAGCCAUACUGGGAAAGAAAUUUACCAGAAGCCAUGAAAAGCUAGAUUGGAGAUUCAUUGAGCGGAUUAGACUGUAAAUUUGAUUUGGUCCAACAUAAAUCCUUAUAUAACAUCCCUGCAUAGAAUAUAUUAAAAUGACAAUUUCAUUUUUAGUGGCCCCAAUCCAAAAAAGUCAUGUGCAAGAAAGUGUGAUGUGCAAAUAACUAAAGUCUGGCACAGCAGAUGGAAAGGCUCAUUCCUAUUUACAAUACAAAAGAGAAUGGACAGUAAAGCACAUGCGACAUACAUGCAGAUUUGAUGGUUCCUGGCUGUGCUUGUGCCAUGGGAGCCGAUGAAACAUCUAUGACUGUGGCACUACAAUCCUAUUUUGAGGACUGGGCUGCCAGCUUGUUAUUAAAUGGGAUACUCUGUGUACAUGUACUUUUGGAAAUGUGUUAAUUGUCCUUGCUUGGAUCUUUGUGGUGCUAAAUUAACCUGGGACCUUUAGAGAAGCUCUGGGACAACAGGUGCAAGUUCCUUAAAUGAAAUGGCCCCAAGGACAAGGUCCAAACAUAGUACUUAUUUCACACCAAUCCACAAACUAAAGAUAAUAAUUAAACUAUCUUGUUUAAUCAGCAUUUUAUUUAUUUAAAUAAUUUAUAUCCCUCCUCUCAUAAAAAGCUCAAGGCAACAUUAAACAGCGGACUGCAGAAUCAAAGAGAUCCUGGUGAACUGCUGCCAUCCCUGUUUCUGCAUACUUGCUGUAGGAGUGGAAUACCAAGUGCCAGUAUUGCAUAGGGUGUCGAACUUCAGAAUGAGUAAAUCUAGGCUGAAAUCUCCACUUGGUAAGUUACUGGGUCUAGGACACCCAAGCUUGUUGAGUGUCCUAGACCCAGUAACUCUCAGCUUAACCUGCUUCACAGAGUUGUGUCAAUUAGGGGUGUGUCAUUUAUGUCAUCCUGAGCUCUUUGAAGAAACAGAAAGGUAAACGUGUAAUAAGUAAUGAUAGUACAUCAUAGUGUUGCACAGUUGGUUGAGUUGUGAGCCUGAAUCUUGACUAAUUUCAGGAUGAAUACUGGCUGUUGUCUAAGAAGGAAUCACUUCCACUCCUCUGCUUAAAAACAAAUCCGGACUAUUUUCAAUGGCUUAAACAGCUGGCACUUUCAGACCUCUGCUUUUAACUUUUUGGACCCUGUUUUCUUCUUUUGGACACUGCUCUCUGUAUAAAUGCUGAUGGAGUCACUGGCCACAAAAACAUUGUUGUUUAAGAACUUCAGCCCUGAAGAAGCAGAGACAUACUGGCUCCAGGCUGAGGGACAGAGAUCUGACAGAGAGGUGCAUAGUUAGCAUUUAAUAUAUGUAAGACAUUAACAUGCUCAAUUUGCUUAACAACAGAGCUGGCACAGGAACAUUUUGCAUAUAGGCAAGUUACACCUUAAUAGAGAUUGCUUUGCUGAGCUGAAACAGUUUUGUAAAAUGAUAUGAGUGAAUAAUUCAACAGAGCUGCAAAACUGAACUGUGGAAUGCUAUUGAACUCCCAAGGUUAUACAAAUGAUAAUAUUUAAGCACAUUGUUACUGAAAUUCCCCUCUCCACUCCUCAUUUAAAAUAGGACAUUCUCUGAUUGCUUCCAGAUGAACUGUUUAUUAAGCAGUUAUCUUGAUUUGUUUACACAAAGGGUUUUCGUUUUUUGGUGGGGGGAGUAGAUGAUGGCAACUAUUUACUGAGUAUUCACUGUUAUUUGUUUACAGAGAGUUGAUAUAUCAUUGCAUCAAGCAGUUCUUAUGACACACUUUCUGGGCAUUCCCCCCUCACUUUUCUUAUUGCAAAGAGCCUAGGGUUGCAGAAAAGUGGGUUUGUUGUGCAAGAGUUACAAAUCAAAUUUAAUGACACCACCUGAAUUUGCUGGUGACUUAAUGCCACUCAAAAAUAGCAACAGCCUGGACACGCCCUUUACACCAGCUGCUUUAUUUACUUGUGUAAACAACUAGCUAGUUUAGUUGGUUGCAUCUCAUCCCGAAUCUUGUCCCUGAUUAGGAAAUUAGUUCUGGAUUUCUUCAAGUGAAAGUUAAUAGUCCUUCGAAAUAAGUGUUGGGUCAGUCCAUCAACCUCUGGUGGAUGAUUUAGAAGGAUUGGUUCUAGCAUCACUUUCGCUGUGUGUGUGUGCCAGUUAUCCAUACUCAGCAGUUACAUCUCAAUGCAGCUCCUUCCUUGGAAUUGUCUUCGGGGUUGAAGGUACACACAGUAGGCAAUAAAUACUCAUGGACGCCAUAAAGAUUCAGUCAAGUGUAGAGGUUUACUUGACAGGCAUAAAAGCAUAUCAGUAGCAAAUAUAUAUACAGACAUUCACCACUGCCAUGGUCAAGGCAUGCUUAGAGUUCAACAAGGGUCCAAGCCUCUCUCUCUGCUCUCACCACAAGAUGCAAGCCAGAGACUCACAACAAAUUACACAAGUUACACAGAACCAUUGCUAUCAGUACUUCCUGUCACAUUGCACAUGUCCAUAGAACAGUUCCCACAGAAAAUGUCCUUGCAUAGACAAAACAGUCUCAGCCUUCUGCUGCUUCUUGAAACUUCUCUGUUCUUCUCUGUUUCUGGAACAAAUGAUUCUCACACACAGAGAAUAUCUAACAAGAAGAACUGACAUCAACCACAGCACUCUUCAUCUUUGUUCACCCAAACAUAAUGGAUGUCCUUGGGCUUAAUUGUUUCCCCACUAUUCCUCCCCUGCUGAAGGACAUACCUAUUUACAAUUUAAGGUACAUCUACCUAUGCCAAAAUCCAAUACACCUUUUGUUUCUUUGUGGUUGUUGUGUUCAGUUAUCCGCUUCUUUGCUAAUUCAUGGAGAUGCUCCAAGGUCACAUUCUAUUUAUUUGUUUGGUGCACCCACAGGUUGGUAGGUAGGGAUGGGGAAUAAAUUCAAUUUAGUUCACAUUCAAAGACAAAUCUGGUAAUUUGCACUUUCCAAAACAAAAUGAGACCCAAAAUGCAUCCAUCCUUCAAAAUUGGCACUUCUCUGAGUUUUGCAAUGCAGUUUUUCAGCCAAGUAAUAUGUACAAAAAUGCACAGACUAGGAUAAAAUGUACAUAAAAAAUCAAAUGUUAAUGAAUAUAAUAUACAAAAGUGCAGUAUGUUUAGGGAAAUUGCUUUCUAAAGAUGCCUAUCAGGAGAAAUUUGCACUAAAAUGCUUAUGAAUUUUAAUGAGGACUUUUCUUUUUUAAUGCAGACAUGUGGAAAUGUGGAGAACUGAACUUAAAACUGGAAAAUUGAGAAACUGAAAUUGACAGAUUCAUCCAUCACUGUUGGUAGAGCACACAAGCAGCUGUUCUUAUGUUUUCUUUUCAUCCAUUAAGUCAAAAAACAACAAAAAAACACUUAAAUUUUGGGGUGAAAAAGUGCACAGCAAACACUCAAAAGGGAACUUCGGUGCUUCAGUGGAAAAUGAGGGCAAGCUAGAACUGGAACAAGAGACACCCAGUCAGAUGUAUCCUUAUUUGGUCCUCUCAUCUUUUAUGCUGUCAUUCCAAACAACAGGGCUGACAACUAACAAAAGGAUAUUUACUUGGUUAGUCUGCUGCCUUAUUUGAAUUUAAAUGAAGUUGCAUAUUACGAUAACUUCCAUAAAGGUGCCUUCUUGAGAUACUGUGAUCUUUAGCCAUGUGAUGCCGUAGCACUACUGAAGAUGAGCAGAUCUGGAUUUGGCCAGAGCCUGGAUGCGAGGCCUCCUGGGAACCCUGCAUACUCUGCUGCAAGCUUCAUGGAGAAAUGUCACAACUGAAGCUUGUUGGGGGGGUACUGCACUAAACACUGGUAUUUGUCAGGAAACUACAGAAUUGAUCUGGAUUAUGGCUAAUGUGGUGUGAAUGUGUCUUUAAAAAAUUAGCAGUGGGAGUGCACUGGAUGCAGAAUAAGCAGUAAUGUGAACAUAUCCUGAGCUACAAUGGUGCAGGGCAGGGGGAUGUAAUUGCCUUGAAGUUUUCUGAAUAUUUAGCUUUACAACUAUUAGUUACUGCGUUCCUUUCUAAACCUUGUGAAAAAAGAGAGUGCGAAGCUCACAAGGCAGUUUGCCCAAAGCAGAGUAAACUCUCUUGCCCAUGAAGCCUUUUUAAGUAUUACAGCUGUCCCUGGAACUCCUUGUCAAAGUUUGUUGUUCUGCAGCUAGCGUGCCUAUUUUUAUAUUCCCCUCCUGGGCUUAUGUCCUAAAAUCUCUGCAACAUGCUGAAGUCUAUGGGGAUUAUUAGUGGCAUAUGUAUUUUCAGGGUAAGAACUCCCAUGGACAUGGAAUAGGAGAACUCUGAUAAACUUUCAGAUAAGUCAUUCUGAUUUUUCAAACUAAAUACCCCCCUCCAGUUUCCUUUCUAUUACCUUGUUUAAAAUAAAUUGUAGGAAUUGGUUUAUCAUGUCAUUUUAUGGCCUAACAUUAGGGUUAUGCUGCCCCAACCAAAUUUUGCUUGACUAGAGUACUGAUUAAAAGUCCAGAAUUAUUGGUUAAUUCUUUCUUAGUGGAAGCCAAGGAUAGUAAGAAAUCUUAUGUUUCCAAAUAAGAGACACCCAUCAGAACUUGGGGAAGCACUUUCUCCCCACCACCACCCUGCCUCUUAGAGAGAGAGAGAGAGAGAGCGCUAAGAAAAGUAGCUGUGUGUAUGUGUGUGAGAGAGAAAUGUCUGAAGCAUUUUUGCCAGAAAAAGGCAAACAGCAAGCUGUGGACUGGUUGAAAGCACCCUUGAAGGUGCAAGUGCUCUCUCUGGAUAACUGAUAGAGCAGGUGUCACCAAAGUUGCACCUGUAGGCACAACAGUGCAUUUGAGAUUUCCCCCAGCUGCCCACAAAGCCGCAGCCCACAAAACUGGAAGGAAGAGACCAGAGGGAGUGGCACCCAUGGUACUUACUUAAAAAUCCAAAUGCGCCCACAGGUCUAAAGAGGUUGCUGAGCCCAAGACAUAGAAAAUUUGCUGCCUUGUAGAGGUGCUUCUUUGUUCUAAAAAGAAGUCUGAUGGAUCAGACCAAAGUUAGUCCAGCAGCAUCUUUCCAACAAUGGCCAGCCAGGUGCCUCCAGGAAAUACACCAGCAGGCCUUGAAAGCAACAGCCCCCUGUUGCUCCCCAAGGGCAAGGCAUACUACCUCUGAAUCUGGAGGUUCUUUAUAGAUUCCCAUGACAUAUAUACAGGCAUUGAUAGAUAAAACUUGGGGCCAUCACCCCAGUCUUAUGGCAGCAAGUUCCACAAAUUAUUAUUUAUACAAGUGUACUUAUAUACUAACGUAAAAUAUAUACCGUAUUUUUCGCCCCAUAGGGCGCACCGGCCCAUAAGGCAUACCUAGAUUUUGGGGGGGAAAUAAAGAAAAAAAAAUUAUUCCCCCCCCCCAAGGCACGAGGCUGGGGCAGGGGAAGCCCGUGCUUCCCCAGCCCCCAGAACAGGCUGCUCUCCGAAAGCCGUGGGAGCCCUCCCGCUCAGCGCGCCGGGCCUUCGCGAUAAGAGGCAGCUCUGCGCAAGCCGGGGAAGGGCUCCCGCAGCUUGCGCAGAGCUACCCGAAGCCCCGGCGCGACUGCUCAGCGCGCCGGGGCUUCGGGAUAAGAGGCAGCGCUGUGCAAGCCGGGGGAGGGCUCCCGCGGCUUGCGCAGAGCUACCCGAAGCCCCGGCGCGACUGCUCAGCACGCCGGGGCUUUGGGAUAAGAGGCAGUGC
This 6272-nucleotide long non-coding RNA is filed under the name Podarcis lilfordi (Lilford's wall lizard). The record is from RNAcentral. Lineage: Eukaryota; Metazoa; Chordata; Lepidosauria; Squamata; Lacertidae.